Molecule: unclassified non-coding RNA, 391 nt
Filed under: soil metagenome
Description: partial contains 5.8S ribosomal RNA, internal transcribed spacer 2, and large subunit ribosomal RNA
Rfam family: 5.8S ribosomal RNA (bases 1-122)
Source: RNAcentral
GAUGAAGAACGUAGCGAAAUGUGAUACUUGGUGUGAAUUGCAGAAUCCCGUGAACCAUCGAGUCUUUGAACGCAAGUUGCGCCCGAAGCCAUUAGGCCGAGGGCACGCCUGCCUGGGCGUCACACGUCGUUGCCCCCCCAUCUACUCCUUCGGGAUUGCGGGGGGCGGAUGAUGGCCUCUCGUGCGCCUCGUCGCGCGGUUGGCCUAAAUGCCAAGUCCUCGGCGACGCACGCCACGACAAUCGGUGGUUGCGAAACCUCGGUUGCCUGUCGUGUGCGGUCGUCGCGCAUCGAGGGCUCGAAAAAAUUGCCGGGCUCCGGCUCGGCUUUCAACGCGACCCCAGGUCAGGCGGGGUUACCCGCUGAAUUUAAGCAUAUCAAUAAGCGGAGGA